GACGAACGCUGGCGGCGUGCUUAACACAUGCAAGUCGAGCGGUAAGGCCCUUUCGGGGGUACACGAGCGGCGAACGGGUGAGUAAUACGUGGGUGACCUGCCCUCAGCUCUGGGAUAAGCCUGGGAAACUGGGUCUAAUACCGGAUAUGACUCCAUGACGCAUGUUGUGGGGUGGAAAGCCUUGUGCGGCUGAGGAUGGGCCCGCGGCCUAUCAGCUUGUUGGUGGGGUGAGGCCUACCAAGGCGACGACGGGUAGCCGGCCUGAGAGGGCGACCGGCCACACUGGGACUGAGACACGGCCCAGACUCCUACGGGAGGCAGCAGUGGGGAAUCUUGCGCAAUGGGCGAAAGCCUGACGCAGCGACGCCGCGUGAGGGAUGAC
RNAcentral lists this ribosomal RNA (382 nucleotides) under uncultured bacterium. RNAcentral describes it as "bacterial SSU rRNA". It matches the Rfam family "Bacterial small subunit ribosomal RNA", at positions 28 to 412 of the family's 1533-position model. The record is from RNAcentral.